CAACUUUCAGCAACGGAUCUCUUGGCUCUCGCAUCGAUGAAGAACGCAGCGAAAUGCGAUAAGUAAUGUGAAUUGCAGAAUUCAGUGAAUCAUCGAAUCUUUGAACGCACCUUGCGCCCCUUGGCUAUUCCGAAGGGCAUGCCUGUUUGAGUAUCAUGA
This 159-nucleotide ribosomal RNA is filed under the name uncultured Thelephoraceae. Its description in RNAcentral is "5.8S ribosomal RNA". It matches the Rfam family "5.8S ribosomal RNA". Rfam says of the family: 5.8S ribosomal RNA (5.8S rRNA) is a component of the large subunit of the eukaryotic ribosome. It is transcribed by RNA polymerase I as part of the 45S precursor that also contains 18S and 28S rRNA. Functionally, it is thought that 5.8S rRNA may be involved in ribosome translocation. Lineage: Eukaryota; Fungi; Basidiomycota; Agaricomycetes; Thelephorales; Thelephoraceae. RNAcentral also lists the same sequence under 1 other name. The record is from RNAcentral.